AACGAACGCUGGCGGCAGGCUUAACACAUGCAAGUCGAGCGCCCCGCAAGGGGAGCGGCAGACGGGUGAGUACCGCGUGGGCACGUACCUUUUGGUUCGGAACAACUCCGGGAAACUGGAGCUAAUACCGGAUAAGCCCUAACGGGGAAAGAUUUAUCGCCGAAAGAUCGGCCCGCGUCUGAUUAGCUAGUUGGUGAGGUAACGGCUCACCAAGGCGACGAUCAGUAGCUGGUCUGAGAGGAUGAUCAGCCACACUGGGACUGAGACACGGCCCAGACUCCUACGGGAGGCAGCAGUGGGGAAUAUUGGACAAUGGGCGCAAGCCUGAUCCAGCCAUGCCGCGUGAGUGAUGAAGGCCUUAGGGUUGUAAAGCUCUUUUGUCCGGGAAGAUAAUGACUGUACCGGAAGAAUAAGCCCCGGCUAACUUCGUG
RNAcentral lists this ribosomal RNA (431 nucleotides) under uncultured bacterium. RNAcentral's name for it is "partial 16S ribosomal RNA". It matches the Rfam family "Bacterial small subunit ribosomal RNA", at positions 29 to 507 of the family's 1533-position model. The record is from RNAcentral.